Molecule: ribosomal RNA, 438 nt
Filed under: fungal sp.
Lineage: Eukaryota; Fungi
Description: SSU rRNA
Rfam family: Eukaryotic small subunit ribosomal RNA
Source: RNAcentral
UUGAAUCUCGGGUCUAAUUGGUCGGUCGUGCCUCGGUACGUACUGGCUUUAUUGGUUUCUCCUUUCUGAAGACCAUGAUGUCAUUUAUUUGGUGUCUGGGGAAUCAGGACUGUUACUUUGAAAAAUUUAGAGUGUUUAAAGCAGGCUCACGCUUGAAUACAUUAGCAUGGAAUAAUGAAAUAGGACGUUUGAUUCUAUUUUGUUGGUUUCUAGGAUCGACGUAAUGAUUAAUAGGGAUAGUUGGGGGCAUUAGUAUUCAAUUGUCAGAGGUGAAAUUCUUGGAUUUAUUGAAGACUAACUACUGCGAAAGCAUUUGCCAAGGAUGUUUUCAUUAAUCAAGAACGAAAGUUAGGGGAUCGAAGACGAUCAGAUACCGUCGUAGUCUUAACCAUAAACUAUGCCGACUAGGGAUCGGAUGAUGUUAAUUUUAAUUGACUC